This 1707-nucleotide ribosomal RNA is filed under the name Salmonella enterica subsp. enterica serovar Holcomb. RNAcentral's name for it is "bacterial LSU rRNA". It matches the Rfam family "Bacterial large subunit ribosomal RNA", at positions 1252 to 2925 of the family's 2925-position model. The record is from RNAcentral. Lineage: Bacteria; Pseudomonadati; Pseudomonadota; Gammaproteobacteria; Enterobacterales; Enterobacteriaceae.
GAAGGUGGCCUGUGAGGGUUGCUGGAGGUAUCAGAAGUGCGAAUGCUGACAUAAGUAACGAUAAAGCGGGUGAAAAGCCCGCUCGCCGGAAGACCAAGGGUUCCUGUCCAACGUUAAUCGGGGCAGGGUGAGUCGACCCCUAAGGCGAGGCCGAAAGGCGUAGUCGAUGGGAAACGGGUUAAUAUUCCCGUACUUGGUGUUACUGCGAAGGGGGGACGGAGAAGGCUAUGUUGGCCGGGCGACGGUUGUCCCGGUUUAAGCGUGUAGGUGUGUGUUCCAGGUAAAUCCGGUUCACUUUAACACUGAGGCGUGAUGACGAGGCACUACGGUGCUGAAGCAACAAAUGCCCUGCUUCCAGGAAAAGCCUCUAAGCAUCAGGUAACAUCAAAUCGUACCCCAAACCGACACAGGUGGUCAGGUAGAGAAUACCAAGGCGCUUGAGAGAACUCGGGUGAAGGAACUAGGCAAAAUGGUGCCGUAACUUCGGGAGAAGGCACGCUGACAUGUAGGUGAAGUGAUUUACUCAUGGAGCUGAAGUCAGUCGAAGAUACCAGCUGGCUGCAACUGUUUAUUAAAAACACAGCACUGUGCAAACACGAAAGUGGACGUAUACGGUGUGACGCCUGCCCGGUGCCGGAAGGUUAAUUGAUGGGGUCAGCGCAAGCGAAGCUCCUGAUCGAAGCCCCGGUAAACGGCGGCCGUAACUAUAACGGUCCUAAGGUAGCGAAAUUCCUUGUCGGGUAAGUUCCGACCUGCACGAAUGGCGUAAUGAUGGCCAGGCUGUCUCCACCCGAGACUCAGUGAAAUUGAACUCGCUGUGAAGAUGCAGUGUACCCGCGGCAAGACGGAAAGACCCCGUGAACCUUUACUAUAGCUUGACACUGAACAUUGAGCCUUGAUGUGUAGGAUAGGUGGGAGGCUUUGAAGCGUGGACGCCAGUCUGCGUGGAGCCGACCUUGAAAUACCACCCUUUAAUGUUUGAUGUUCUAACGUGGACCCGUGAUCCGGGUUGCGGACAGUGUCUGGUGGGUAGUUUGACUGGGGCGGUCUCCUCCUAAAGAGUAACGGAGGAGCACGAAGGUUGGCUAAUCCUGGUCGGACAUCAGGAGGUUAGUGCAAUGGCAUAAGCCAGCUUGACUGCGAGCGUGACGGCGCGAGCAGGUGCGAAAGCAGGUCAUAGUGAUCCGGUGGUUCUGAAUGGAAGGGCCAUCGCUCAACGGAUAAAAGGUACUCCGGGGAUAACAGGCUGAUACCGCCCAAGAGUUCAUAUCGACGGCGGUGUUUGGCACCUCGAUGUCGGCUCAUCACAUCCUGGGGCUGAAGUAGGUCCCAAGGGUAUGGCUGUUCGCCAUUUAAAGUGGUACGCGAGCUGGGUUUAGAACGUCGUGAGACAGUUCGGUCCCUAUCUGCCGUGGGCGCUGGAGAACUGAGGGGGGCUGCUCCUAGUACGAGAGGACCGGAGUGGACGCAUCACUGGUGUUCGGGUUGUCAUGCCAAUGGCACUGCCCGGUAGCUAAAUGCGGAAGAGAUAAGUGCUGAAAGCAUCUAAGCACGAAACUUGCCCCGAGAUGAGUUCUCCCUGAGACUUAGAGUCUCCUGAAGGAACGUUGAAGACGACGACGUUGAUAGGCCGGGUGUGUAAGCGCAGCGAUGCGUUGAGCUAACCGGUACUAAUGAACCGUGAGGCUUAACCUUACAACGCCGAAG